GGGUUGUGAGGUUAAGCGACUAAGCGUACACGGUGGAUGCCCUGGCAGUCAGAGGCGAUGAAGGGCGUGCUAAUCUGCGAUAAGCGCCGGUAAGGUGAUAUGAACCGUUAUAACCGGCGAUACCCGAAUGGGGAAACCCAGUGUGACUCGUCACACUAUCAUUAACUGAAUCCAUAGGUUAAUGAGGCGAACCGGGGGAACUGAAACAUCUAAGUACCCCGAGGAAAAGAAAUCAACCGAGAUUCCCCCAGUAGCGGCGAGCGAACGGGGAGGAGCCCAGAGCCUGAAUCAGCAUGUGUGUUAGUGGAAGCGUCUGGAAAGGCGCGCGAUACAGGGUGACAGCCCCGUACACAAAAGCGCAUGUGCUGUGAGCUCGAUGAGUAGGGCGGGACACGUGGUAUCCUGUCUGAAUAUGGGGGGACCAUCCUCCAAGGCUAAAUACUCCUGACUGACCGAUAGUGAACCAGUACCGUGAGGGAAAGGCGAAAAGAACCCCGGCGAGGGGAGUGAAAAAGAACCUGAAACCGUGUACGUACAAGCAGUGGGAGCCCCACCACCAAAGCAUUUGCUGUAC
This 574-nucleotide ribosomal RNA is filed under the name Salmonella enterica subsp. enterica serovar Enteritidis. RNAcentral describes it as "partial 23S ribosomal RNA". It matches the Rfam family "Bacterial large subunit ribosomal RNA", at positions 1 to 588 of the family's 2925-position model. The record is from RNAcentral. Lineage: Bacteria; Pseudomonadati; Pseudomonadota; Gammaproteobacteria; Enterobacterales; Enterobacteriaceae.